Molecule: non-coding RNA, 89 nt
Organism: Canis lupus familiaris (dog)
Lineage: Eukaryota; Metazoa; Chordata; Mammalia; Carnivora; Canidae
Source: Rfam
GGGGGGAGGCCGGAUCCUGGGCUGUGUCCCGGCGCCCUGUGCUCUGGGGCCUGCGCUGUUGGAUUUGGGCUCCGGCUGGGCAGCCCCCU